This 263-nucleotide ribosomal RNA is filed under the name uncultured archaeon. RNAcentral describes it as "partial 16S ribosomal RNA". It matches the Rfam family "Archaeal small subunit ribosomal RNA", at positions 748 to 1009 of the family's 1478-position model. The record is from RNAcentral.
UAGCCGUAAACGAUACUCGCUAGGUGUCGGCCACGGUGCGACCGUUGUCGGUGCCGUAGGGAAGCCGUGAAGCGAGCCACCUGGGAAGUACGGCCGCAAGGCUGAAACUUAAAGGAAUUGGCCGGGGGGAGCACAACAACGGGUGGAGCUUGCGGUUUAAUUGGAUUCAACGCCGGAAAUCUUACCGGGACCGACAGCAACAUGAAGGCCAAGCUGAAGACUUUGCCGGAUUAGCUGAGAGGAGGUGCAUGGCGUAGUCGUGU